CGGCGUCGUUAUAUAGAAAAAAUUAAAGAAACGGGUUGAUGAGUGUCCUUUCAGUCUGGCUCCAUCAAAGUCGACGAACGACCCCACCUAAUGGCCGGAGGUGUCAUAUCCUGACAUAUAAAACUACCUUAUUGAAUCUCCAGAAAACUAGGGAUUUGCACGGCAAGUCAAAUGAAGAACUACAAAUCCCUGGAAGCACAUAAGUUCUUCACCAGUGGCUGGGUGGAUGUGGUGGUACUGCACCAUAAACCCUCUGCUGACAUUACAGUUUUCAAGACCCAGGUCAAGCCAUCGUGGAGGGUAACCAAUAAAUCCCACAACACUUGGGUUGCUGCUAAGAGGACUGGAGAGAUUAAAGCGGCUCACUGUGAUUGCAUGGCAGGACUGGGAGAAAGUUGUUACCAUGUUGGGGCACUCCUUUUUAAGUCAGAGGCAUCUGUCCGCCUUGGCUACACAAGUAUGACAGCAACCACCAUCGCCUGUGCCUGGAACAAAGUCUGUACCAAAAAGGUUGAGGGAGACAUGGUGAAGGACAUUAAGUUCUACACAGACAAAGCAAAAAGAAAGAGGGGAGUCGGAAAAAAGUGGAGGGCAGUUCCGAAGGCAAAAGAAGAACAUCAACAGUUCCUUGAAAUGUUGUCUGCCACUGGAGAACUGCCCGUUGGUCUCAGCACUUUUAAGGGAUAUGCAGACUCUUUCAGGCCAAAGCCAUGGUUUGAAAAUCUCUUAAGGUUUUCUGAUGACCAAGUAUAGGCAAUAGAAGAAGAAACCAAAGACCAGGUAGAAUGUUCAUCUUGGCACCAGCAAAGAAUUGGGAGGGUGACGGGCACAUCCGCGCACAGGGUACUACACACGUCUCUUGAGAAGGCAUCAAAAGCACUGCUGAGAGAGAUUGUGCAGAAAAUGUCUCUGCAAAACCGGCUGACAACUCCAGACAUUGUUUGGGGUAGGGAUCAUGAAAAGGAGGCCAUCAAAACUUAUAAGUAUGCCCUAGGCCUAAAGACCACAUGCACAGCACAAACUUCAAUCACCAUAUCAAAUGAGGUAUAUACAGCCCACAAGAGCCUCAAUAUUCUAAGGGCAGGCUUCCAAGUGUGCAAAGACAAGUCCUACAUUGUUGUAAGCUGUGAUGCAUACAUAACCUGUGAUUGCUGUGGGAAAGGAGUGGUUGAGGCAAAGUGUCCCUUGAAGUGGGCCAGUGAUGUUUCACCUGAUCACUGGCCCGCAGACAUGGACAUCUGGACACAAAUAGUUUGCCAGUCUGCCGCAAAUAAAUAUACUUGCCAAUAUGAAUCCGAACUUUGAUUUCAUUCUGGACUCUUCAACGUCUUUGCCUGGGAGUUGUUUCCUGCUGUGAGUGAAGGCUGGGGUUUGGGAGACUGGCACCAAGCAAGGCAAAGUCGUCUUUAAGGGCAAAACCCCGAUCAGCCAAAAUCUGAA
This is a long non-coding RNA of Anguilla rostrata (American eel), 1440 nucleotides long. RefSeq lists it as uncharacterized. The transcript is spliced from 3 exons. The record is from RefSeq and is a predicted model, not a curated record. NCBI's taxonomy places the organism in Eukaryota, Metazoa, Chordata, Actinopteri, Anguilliformes, Anguillidae.